UCAGAUAUCCAUACAUCCUGAAUGGAUGCCUCAAAUCAAUGCAUGGUUUUCCAGAUUUGAGGUUCGUGUUAAUAUAUAAUUUUCAGCUUAUUUCUAAUAAAUUCUUAAUAUAAUUGUAAAUAAAUUAUUAACAUUUUUAAAAUUUAUUUUUUAUACACAGAAUCGAUUCUGCUGGAACGAAGAACAUAACAAUGUUGUGAGGAGGGUGUGGGAAAAUCACGCGGCAACUAGGUAACAUCGAAAACAAUACAACUUUUUUU
RNAcentral lists this long non-coding RNA (260 nucleotides) under Populus tremula. RNAcentral describes it as "long non-coding RNA (PTRE_LNC002311)". The record is from RNAcentral. Lineage: Eukaryota; Viridiplantae; Streptophyta; Magnoliopsida; Malpighiales; Salicaceae.